GGUCCGUCACAAACCGGAAACACGUUUACAAUUUUUAUCAACAUUUUCCAUUUUCUGAAGAAUUGUGCUCUAUACAAUUGUACAGCAAGCUUGUUUAAUCUAAAGGAAAAUGGUUUCAGACGUUCAACUAGCAAUCUUUGCCAAUGCUCUUGGGGUGUCACUCUUUCUGUUGGUUGUAUUGUAUCAUUAUAUUAGUGUCAACAAUAUAAAGAAACAUGACUAAAGAUAGAUCUUUUGGUAACCAAAAAGUGAAGAGUGCAUGAGGUGUGGAUGUGUAAAUGAAGAUGAAAUUAUUAAAAACACAAAUUAAUUGUUCCUGUAAUUUAGAACCUCUGUAAUAGAUUACAUAUUAUAUAUCACUGUGUACAUCUGUCAGUCAUAAAAAUGUAAGAAAUUUCUCA
Molecule: long non-coding RNA, 401 nt
Organism: Mytilus californianus (California mussel)
Lineage: Eukaryota; Metazoa; Mollusca; Bivalvia; Mytilida; Mytilidae
Exons: 3
Source: RefSeq, a predicted model, not a curated record